RNAcentral lists this ribosomal RNA (371 nucleotides) under uncultured bacterium. RNAcentral describes it as "bacterial SSU rRNA". It matches the Rfam family "Bacterial small subunit ribosomal RNA", at positions 30 to 403 of the family's 1533-position model. The record is from RNAcentral.
AUUGAACGCUGGCGGCAUGCCUUACACAUGCAAGUCGAACGGUAACGGGCCUUCGGGUGCCGACGAGUGGCGAACGGGUGAGUAAUGCAUCGGAACGUACCUUUCAGUGGGGGAUAACGUAGCGAAAGUUACGCUAAUACCGCAUAUUCUGUGAGCAGGAAAGCAGGGGAUCGCAAGACCUUGCGCUGAUUGAGCGGCCGAUGUCAGAUUAGCUAGUUGGUGAGGUAAAGGCUCACCAAGGCGACGAUCUGUAGCGGGUCUGAGAGGAUGAUCCGCCACACUGGAACUGAGACACGGUCCAGACUCCUACGGGAGGCAGCAGUGGGGAAUCUUGGACAAUGGGCGCAAGCCUGAUCCAGCCAUGCCGCGUG